This 354-nucleotide transfer-messenger RNA is filed under the name Gammaproteobacteria (g-proteobacteria). RNAcentral describes it as "GCA-2707915 sp002707915 Standard tmRNA". It matches the Rfam family "transfer-messenger RNA". Rfam says of the family: Bacterial tmRNA, also known as 10Sa RNA or SsrA, is named for its dual tRNA and mRNA-like properties. Its role is to liberate the mRNA from a stalled ribosome. To accomplish this part of the tmRNA is used as a reading frame that ends in a translation stop signal. The record is from RNAcentral. RNAcentral also lists the same sequence under 1 other name. Lineage: Bacteria; Pseudomonadati; Pseudomonadota.
GGGGGCGAACUGGCUUCGACAAUAGAUACAAACCCCUAAGUGCAUGUCGAGAAGGUUGUAAUUCUCGUUAAACAAUUACUUCAAACUUGUUAGUUGGCGAAAACGCAGACUACGCUCUAGCCGCUUAAUUGGCUAGCUACUCUGGUAACGUGCUCGUGCGCCUCCAAAAGUAGACGACUUCACGAGAUGCUGAAAUUGCUCUUCUCAUUAGUAAUUUCUUAAGAAUAAAUUGAGAUCGUCUUUUAAUCCCUGUUUAUCGGGUGCUAAAAGAUUAAAUUAAUAGAUAAAACUAAGCAUGUAGAUCUUAUGGCAGAGUUCUAGUGGACGCGGGUUCAAUUCCCGCCGCCUCCACCA